GUGCUCACUUCAGCAGCACAUACACUAAAAUAUCAAUGAUGCAAAGAAGAUUAGCAUGACUUCUGUGCAAGAAUGACAUGCAAAUUCAUGAAGUGUUCCACAUACUU
Molecule: small nuclear RNA, 107 nt
Organism: Cercocebus atys (sooty mangabey)
Lineage: Eukaryota; Metazoa; Chordata; Mammalia; Primates; Cercopithecidae
Source: Ensembl